GGCCGGGCCGCCCAGAGCUCGCCAUUGGGCCUCACUCCCGGGGUCCCGAGCGCCGGCCAUGCUGAUUGGCCGCUGGGGCUUCAUUCACAGCCCCCCUACAGUCCGCAUACACACUCACGCCCCGGGGGCGCGGCCGCCACGUGGGGAGUGGCGCGGGGGUGGUACUGGGACCGCACCCCCUCUCGUCCUGGCUGCGUGGGCCCGCUUUCCCCGGUCUCUGGAGACUCCGAGCCCGGCGGGUCCCACGCUCCACGCGAGCAGAAUUCCCGCAGGUCUCCCGCCCGGGUGGCCAGAGGCGGUGGCGGGGAUGGCGGGCUCCGGGAGGCGCUCCGGCUCCGAGAAGCCGCUUAGCCCCGCGCUCCUCCCUCCGCAGUGCCGCCGCCGGCGGGCCGGGAUUCCCGCGGGUCUCGGCGGCCGCGAGCUGCAGGCGGCGCGGGUCCCCGGCUCGGUUGGUCACCUUGCCCGCCUCGCCUCCCACGGCUUCCAGCGGGCGCGGAGCUCUCCUCUGCGCGCCUCCCCGGCCCGUCUCGGUUUCCCUUCUUCGUCCUCUAGACCAUCCAGCGCAACUCCGUCGACCUCCGCGGCCCUGAGAGAGCAUCCGGCGCGGGCAGAGGCGUACCGGCCCGACCUCACGCCUCUCAUGGACUCUUCUCCAGGGUACCAUGGCCCAGGAAAAGGAACAGAGAAGAGGAAAUGGAAAAGUUGCUCAAAAUUCAGAGGCCAAGGAAGGAGUCUGGUGGAUAAAGAAACCUGGGGAAGAAGGCUUUUUGGAUAGCACAAAGGAAAAGGAAGAUCUUGUUCUGAUGGGCUAUACUAACUUGGAAGUCAUGACUCCAUCUGUCUUCCCAUCCACCCAACCAUCUGUCUAUCAUCC
Molecule: long non-coding RNA, 874 nt
Organism: Bos indicus x Bos taurus (hybrid cattle)
Lineage: Eukaryota; Metazoa; Chordata; Mammalia; Artiodactyla; Bovidae
Source: Ensembl